This 73-nucleotide transfer RNA is filed under the name Sphingomonas baiyangensis. Its description in RNAcentral is "Sphingomonas sp. L-1-4w-11 tRNA-Arg". The record is from RNAcentral. Lineage: Bacteria; Pseudomonadati; Pseudomonadota; Alphaproteobacteria; Sphingomonadales; Sphingomonadaceae.
GCGUCCAGCUAGAUGGCUCUUUUCUGCCCUCCGAAGGCAGAGGUCACAGGUUCGAAUCCUGUCGGGUGCGCCA